UUUCCUGCCGCAGCGAUGUGGAGCAUCAUGUCUGCCCAGGACCGGCACCCGGCGCAGCCCCCCCGGGCCGCCCCCGAGGCUGCGGAGCAGGACGCGGGGAACGGGUACGAGGCGGUCGCUCCGCACUGGUUUUACUGCAAGGUCACGGGCGGACGGGAGCGGUGGCUGCCCUUCAGCGCACAGGACUCGGAGCGGCUCGAGGAGGCUCACGGUGCAGGGAAGGACAAAGGAGACGUGGUUGUCCCGACGUCGGGCGGCAGGUACGACGUGCACCUGGAGCGGAGGCAGCGCGUCGCCGUGUACUGGGAGGAGGAGGUGUCCGAGGUGCGCCGCUGCACCUGGUUCUACAAGGGGGACAAGGACAACAAGUACGUCCCCUACUCGGAGAGCUUCAGCGAGGAGCUGGAGGAGGCGUACAUGAUUGCUGUAACCCUGGAUGAAUGGAAGAAGAAGCUGGAGUCCCCGAGCAGGGAAAUCAUCAUCUUGCACAACCCCAAGCUCAUGGUGCACUACCACCCCGUCGCCACCUCCGAUGACUGGGGCUCGACUCCUACAGAACAAGGGCGGCCUCGGACUGUGAAGAGAGGAGUAGAGAACAUUGCUGCUGAGAUCCCCAACGGAGAACCUCUGCAGAUUGACCACCUGGUUUUCGUGGUGCACGGGAUCGGGCCGGCGUGCGACAUCCGCUUCAGAAGCAUCGUGCAGUGCGUGAACGACUUCAGGAGCGUUUCGCUGAGCAUGCUGCAGGCACACUUCAGGAAGGCGCAGGAGCAGCAGCAGAUCGGCCGGGUGGAAUUCCUGCCCGUCAACUGGCACAGCUCCCUGCACUCCACCGGCGUGGACGUGGACCUGGAGCGAAUCACUUUGCCGAGCAUCAGCCGCCUGCGUCACUUCAUCAACGACACCAUCCUGGAUGCUUUCUUCUACAACAGCUCCACCUAUUGCCAGACCAUCCUGGACACGGUGGCCUCUGAGAUGAACCGCCUCUACCUGCUCUUCCUGCAGAGGAACCCAGGCUUUAAAGGGGGGGUUUCCAUCGCGGGUCACAGCCUGGGCUCCCUCAUUUUGUUUGAUCUCCUGACGAACCAGAAGGCUGCUCCUGAGGAGGACGAGCGCAGCAGGGAGGGGCCCGAGGUAACUUCAAGCAGCAGGGGUGCUGAGGAAGUGAAAGAAAUCCUGAGGAAGCUGGAUCUGUCUGAGUACUGUCCUGUUUUCGAGAAGGAGAAAAUAGAUGGGGAAGCGCUGUUCUUGUGCGCAGAGAAAAACCUGGAAGAAAUGGGAAUUCCCUUAGGACCACGAAUGAAGCUCCUCCAUUACAUCAGCUCCAACAGGGAGACGCAGGACUCCAGAGACCACAAUGCUGCUGGGCAGCACGGCACCAGCAGCACCAGUGCCAGCAGGGAUGGCUCAUACCGGGACGUGAGCCUGGGGCAGGUCUCGGCCAACUACCCCCAGCUGCUCUACAAGCCUGCCAUCUUCUUCGCUUUUGGGUCUCCCAUUGGGAUGUUCCUCACGGUGCGAGGAGUGAAGCGGAUCAACCCGGACUACAGCCUGCCCACCUGCAAGGGCUUCUUCAACAUCUUCCACCCCGUAGUUCGACCCGGUGGCGUACAGGAUCGAGCCCAUGAUCGUCCCAGAUCUGGAAUUCGAGCCCAUGCUGCUCCCGCACCACAAGGGCAGGAAGAGGAUGCACCUCGAGCUGAAAGAAGGGCUGACGCGCAUGAGCGUGGACCUGAAGAACAACCUGCUGGGCUCCCUGCGGGUGGCGUGGCAGUCCUUCACCCGCGCCCCGCUGGCGGCCGUGGAGGGCACGAGCAGCGAGGGGGAGGCAGAGGCGGAGGCCGGCACAGAGAAGCAGCCAGAUCCAAAGCCGGAAGAGGCCCCGGCACCGGCGAAGGAGGAUCCCUCCCUCAUUAACGUGGGGAAGCUGAACGGGGGGAAUCGCAUCGACUACGUGCUCCAGGAGAAGCCCAUCGAGAGCUUUAAUGAAUAUUUGUUUGCGCUGCAAGGGCAUCUCUGCUAUUGGGAGUCAGAGGACACUGUUCUGCUGGUUCUGAAGGAGAUCUACCAGACCAUAGGCGUUACACUGGACCAACCUCUGCCAGGAAGCCAAUGACCACCCCGUGCUGCUCAACCACUUGUUGUAAGUCACCUUACACGCCUACACUUCCAAAUUUCCUAGGAGUCCCCAGAGGACGUACGGUCUGUUUGAAGGAAUAACGUUCCUUAUUUACAGCGCUGUGCUGGGCUUGGCUUUGGCCUGUCAGCACACUGGGCUUCCUUCCUCUUUAUCGUGCACAAAAGCACAUCAGACACAAGAUUUAUUCCAGUGUUCUCCCUUUGCUCUCUUAGAUACAAUUCAAUCGAGUACUCACCAGGAAAGUUCAGAUUUCUUCUCUGCCUUCCUCUCUCCUCUGCUGCCGUGCCCCGCAUGCUGCUUCCCCACUACUUGCUGCUGCCUGGAGAUAAAGAUGGUUUUCCUCCAUUUUGGGUAGGAAAAAACCAAACAAACACAAAACCCACUUCUGCUAACACACACACACACACACACACACACACACACACAGCACUUGCACUGUGACUUCCUGUGACAACACGUGCUGUCAGCCCUGAACUUGUCUGCCCACCUCGCAGGUUAUCACAUGGGCUUUGCAGUGCCGGUGCAGACAGCUGCCUGGGCUAGGAAAUGCGAUACCAGGGCCUGAACCCUGCUGCAGGCUUAGCGAGAACACUCAUAGCUUGGGACCUUGAGAAAUAAAAGCCUUAAACAUGCAGCAUGGAGAGAGCUAUAGCAGCCUUGAGAGAAGGAGAUGCUGACUUCUCGUGGGAGAAGGAUGAGGCACUGUUCUGCUGUAGCACUGAGCUCGAGAGCGGCAGCUUUUGGGAGGCACAGACAAGGAGCGUGGGCAUCUGCACGCACCGUAGCUUGUGGCCAUGUGCACAGCACCCAGGAAAGCUUUACCUCCAGAUCCAAGCAACAGCUGGGUUAGAGGAAAGCAGCCACCCCAGGCACCAGGCCCUGGAGGGCCAGCCCUCCUGCACUCUGCAGGAGCACGCAGCAGUGCUGCAGAGUUCAAGGUGGCUGCAGGGAUCUCAUUCCCAUCAGCCUCCAGCCAGUGGUUUCGUUGGCAAGUACACCAAAUGGCAGCCAGGGAGGGCAGAGCCCACAUCUGUUGGAUCUGGGCACUGUCUCAGUGACUCCACUGAAGAAGUUCGAGUACUCUGGCAGGCAGCGCAGCCUGCACCUUGCUGUUUUGUGUUAGCUCUCCUCCAAGGGCAACAGGGAGCCCCGGGUGAUGGGUCCCCUAUGACCCAAACCACUGCUAGACUGCAGCUGGAGCCUCGGAGCGGGUAGGGGAAACGUUUCAGUGACAUGUAAGGUCACUGCAGCCUUUGCAAAGAGCCACCUCCCUCCCGCUGACUUUUGCCCUGCAUGGGGUAACGCGCCUUGUUUCCAUAGCUUCCCUUUGUUUGUCCUCCGUUGUACUUCGUUAUUUGCACUAUUCCAAAGGUGUUGUUUGCAGCCUCCAACCUCCUCCCAUCCCUAAGGAACUGAAGCUGUUCAUUUACUUGACUGCAGAAACAGACAUGCUGCUCCUUCUGAGCCUGAGUUACCGAUUGCUAAACGCCUCCUACGAGAGUAGGAAAAGGAACAGUCUUAACAUGGGACACUCGUGACCAGCUUUUUAAGUUAUGCACUUUGUUAAAAAAAAAUUAAAUAAGUUUUAAAUGUUA
This is an RNA transcript of Numida meleagris (helmeted guineafowl), 3735 nucleotides long. It is a transcript of the gene named DDHD domain containing 2, with no coding region annotated. NCBI's taxonomy places the organism in Eukaryota, Metazoa, Chordata, Aves, Galliformes, Numididae. The record is from RefSeq and is a predicted model, not a curated record. The transcript has 17 exons.